Non-coding RNA from Phrynosoma platyrhinos (Desert horned lizard), 72 nucleotides. The record is from the annotation of a GenBank genome assembly. NCBI's taxonomy places the organism in Eukaryota, Metazoa, Chordata, Lepidosauria, Squamata, Phrynosomatidae.
GCCAAUGUGGUGUAGUGGUUUGAACAUUGGACUAUGACUCUGGAGACCAGGGUUCGAUUCCCUGCUCAGCCA